Long non-coding RNA from Cyprinus carpio carpio, 1586 nucleotides. Lineage: Eukaryota; Metazoa; Chordata; Actinopteri; Cypriniformes; Cyprinidae. The record is from Ensembl.
UUGUUGUUGUUGUUUUUAGUAUACAGCUAAUAUUUAAAAUGUGUGUUUGUUUAUUGUUUUUAACGCACACUAUUAUGUUUAAGAGAAAUGUGCUUUAAGAGGGCUAUGAAUGUGAAAGAGAGAGAGCGCGAGUGAGAGGCGAGUGCGCAGAUCACAGAUCGAACAUUUCGAUUGUUACUGAAAUAAUUUGCAUACUGAUUCCCUUUCAGCUCGCGCAGGAUCCAUAACUGCUCGCGCGGGUAUUCAAAUGCACGCGCAUCUUUAAAUGCAAGGAUAAGACAGAAUCAAGAGCCCAGAGACACGCAAACAACACCGACCGAAACGGAGUUUUUGCCCGUGGAUGCUGUGAUUCGAUCAUGGAAACGGUGGAAAAGCGAUUAUCCUGCUGGACGAGACCCGCCGGGUGGAUGCAGGAAGCGCCGUGCCUGCGGAGCACACUGAACAAAUUACGCACUAAAGCAAAUGAUUGCUUUCAAUGACAAACUGUGGAUAACACACAAAACUUACAGCUGUUAGCUUCAGGAGUCUUGAAGCGUCACCUUUGACAUGUCCCCUAUGCGCACGAGCGGGGGCCCGGGGCUGUGGGCCCCAGGACUGACCACUGCAAGCUGUCAAGCUGUCACCCCACCCGGGCUUGGACGCUUUCGCCGGGCUCCUAACAGUCCAGUUAUCCCGCUCUCUCGCUUGACUGGACAUGAAACUGACUUUUUGGAGUCGAUUUUUAACUAUAAACAAUGUGUAGUCGUGCAAAGUGAUAUCUCUUUAAUGUAUGUGUGGGGGUGUGGUGGGGGAUCCUGUAACUGCCUUGGUAAUUUUUGUCUUGCCAACCAAAAAAAAUUAUUGGUUCUUUUUGUUCUUUUAAAAACGUAUGUGUACAAAUUCAGCAUGGACGAAUUGUGUUAUAGAUUUUGAUCUGCCUCCUAUCUUUUACACAAUCUACAUUAAUUGUGUUUAUAUAGAUUGAAUUUGCUAACUGCAUUUUGCAAAGUCGGAUUGACACUUUUUUAACUGUUUAAAAUACAAACGAAUUUUUGUAACACUGAUUUGGCAUAUAAAUGGGUUUUGCCUAUUCAUUUUUGUGCAGAAUGAAGUUUACCCAUGAAACAUAAUGUGCUGUGUCAUUAUUCUGCCAGGCCGCGGAAGCGGGACACACUCCUGAUGGCUUGGUUCGUUACUCUUAAUAGCACAACAAUAGAAACAUCUGUCCAGCCUUUCUUUGCCUAUUACCAAUCCGUCUGUCCUUGAUCCCAAAAAACACUACAGCUCUGCAUGGUACAGGAUGAGUAAUAUUCAGCAAUCUGUAUACUUUUUUUUCAUUAAAAAUAUAUAUUUAUUUAUUCUGUGUGUCAGACCUCUCUUAUUUCAACUGAAUGUCAAUUUGUAGCCUAUAUACAUUAUAUUGAUAAUAUCUGCAAUCAUAUGUGCAUGCGUAUAAACAUUUCUCUGAAGCUUGGAGCAGGACAGAAACUAAUGUAGGCUAUAUGUAUAUUAAUGCAAGCAGAAGCCUCCAGGUGAACCCGGAAGUUUUCUACACCCAUCGCAUUAAGGAGGUUCUGCAAAACUAAUUGCAUUUAUUCAUGAAUUAU